RNAcentral lists this ribosomal RNA (543 nucleotides) under Parmotrema fistulatum. RNAcentral's name for it is "SSU rRNA". It matches the Rfam family "Bacterial small subunit ribosomal RNA", at positions 356 to 929 of the family's 1533-position model. Lineage: Eukaryota; Fungi; Ascomycota; Lecanoromycetes; Lecanorales; Parmeliaceae. The record is from RNAcentral.
GAGGAAUGUAUAGCAAUAGCUACUUGUAUCAUUAAUGAUGCAAGCUCGACUAUGUUGAAUAAAAUUCUAGGUAGAAUUAUGAUAAUGACAUUGUCUGCCUAUGUGUCUUGACCAAAUUACGUGCCAGCAGUCGCGGUAAUACGUAGAAGACUAGUGUUAUUCAUGUUUAAUCGGUUUAAAGGGUACCUAGACGGUGAAUCAAGCUUUAAAUAAAUAAGAAAAGGGACUAAUUUACUAGAGUUACUUACGAGGGGGUAUUAAAGUACUGCUGGUGUAGAGAUGAAAUUCUGUCAUACCUCUUUUCGAAAGAAAAAUCAUGGCACAGGUAUAGGCGAAGGCAUCCCCUUAUGUGAUAACUGACGUUGAGGGACGAAGGCUUCGUNUAAUGAACAGGAUUAGAUACCCUAGUAGUUGAAGCAGAAAAUGAUGAAUGUCAUAGAUUAGACGUCUAAGUUUAUUCUAUAAAUGAAAGUGUAAGCAUUCCACCUCAUGAGUAAUUUGGCAACAUUGGAAUUGAAAUCAUUAGACCGUUUCUGAAACCAG